AGAGUUUGAUCAUGGCUCAGAACGAACGCUGGCGGCAGGCUUAACACAUGCAAGUCGAACGCCCCGGAAGGGGAGUGGCAGACGGGUGAGUAACACGUGGGAACGUGCCCUAAGGUUCGGAAUAUUCCCGGGAAACUGGGAGCAAUACCGAAUGUGUCCGUAAGGAGAAAGAUUUAUCGCCUUAGGAUCGGCCCGCGUCGGAUUAGCUUGUUGGUGGGGUAAUGGCCUACCAAGGCGACGAUCCGUAGCUGGUCUGAGAGGACGACCAGCCACACUGGGACUGAGACACGGCCCAGACUCCUACGGGAGGCAGCAGUGGGGAAUCUUGGACAAUGGGCGCAAGCCUGAUCCAGCCAUGCCGCGUGGAUGAUGAAGGCCUUAGGGUUGUAAAAUCCUUUCGCCGAGGACGAUAAUGACGGUACUCGAGAAGAGUCC
This 435-nucleotide ribosomal RNA is filed under the name uncultured Microvirga sp. Its description in RNAcentral is "bacterial SSU rRNA". It matches the Rfam family "Bacterial small subunit ribosomal RNA", at positions 8 to 492 of the family's 1533-position model. The record is from RNAcentral. Lineage: Bacteria; Pseudomonadati; Pseudomonadota; Alphaproteobacteria; Hyphomicrobiales; Methylobacteriaceae.